RNAcentral lists this long non-coding RNA (7970 nucleotides) under Sus scrofa (pig). RNAcentral describes it as "lncRNA (ENSSSCG00065042421.1)". Lineage: Eukaryota; Metazoa; Chordata; Mammalia; Artiodactyla; Suidae. The record is from RNAcentral.
UUUUCUUUUGCAUUUUUAGGGCCACACCUGUGGCAUGUGGAAGUUCCCAGGCUAGGGGAUGAAUCAGUGCUGCAGCUGCUGGCCUACGCCACAGCCACAGCCACAGCCACAGCCACACGGGAUCCAAGCAGCAUCUUUGACCCACACCACAGUUCAGGGCAACACCAGACUUUUAAGCCACUGAAUGAGGCCAGGGAUCAAACCCGUAUCCUCAUGGAUACUAGUUGGGUUCACUACUGGAAUUCCCAAAAUAAUUUUUUUGAAAAAAAAAAAAAAAGCUGCCAUGCACAGAUGAACUUAUCUAUAAAAUAGAAACAGACUCACAGAUUUAGAGAACAGACGUGAUUGCCAAGGGGGAGGGGUGAGGCAGUGGAUGGACUGAGAGUUUGGGGUUGGUAGAUGCAAACGAUUACAUUUAGAAUGGAUAAGCAAUGAGGUCUGGCUGUACAGCACAGGCAACUAUAUCCAGUCUCUUAGGACAGAACACGAUGGAAGAUAACAUAAGAAGGGGAAUGUAUAUAUGUAUGUGACUGGGCCAUUUUGCUAUACAGCAGAAGUUGACACAACAUUGUAAAUAGACUACAAUUAAAAAAUAUUUUUUUAAAGCUGCCAGGGACAACACAUACACAGUUGGGUGUGGCUAUGACCAAUAAGAUUUUGUUUACAUUAAGGGGGGUAGUUUCCUGAGUCCUAGCCUAGGCUACGUGGGCAGGGUAGGGAAAAUAAGCUAUAAUGUUAGUGUCUUCAAUCCCCAGAGUCAAGAAAAACACAACAAAAAGUCUAUUAAAAUUCUCUUACGUAGAAAUGAUCUCUGAUCACCCACUCUUUUUCUGUCAGGCAUGACAGAAACAACUCACUGUUUCUUAUUGAAUAUACAAAUCCUGAUCGACUUGCAGUGCCUGCCAGGAGUACUGUGUUAAUAAGAAAUACCCAGAGAUUCUAUCCUGGAGCCACAAGAAAAAGCUCUGUGAUUGAUUAGCAAUGUCUGCCUUGGGCAAGGGAAGGGAGGAAGAUGGCAUGAGGUAAAUUGGGGUCCCUCACAUUUGUCACUUAUGGUCUAUAUUGUUGCAGCCCAUUUUCAAUAAAAAUUAAUUGUUGAUAAUUCAGUCUGCUUUUCAGACAGGUAUGAAUAAUCUUUUGAAUGCCUUUAACCCAGUGAUCUGAUUGACACCUUCAAUCACACCAUCCUCAAAGUAAAGAGCUGGUUAAUACAACGAAGCUAAAAAGGACGAAAAAAAAUUUGCCUAACCACCACUGCUUUCAAUUAUAGGUAUCCAACCAAAUGAAUUCUUCCAGUAACCCCCUUGCAACAAUAUUUACCUGCUCAUCCUUGACCUGGGCCAAGCAAGCACGGAGCAUUCCUAUAGGAUGGACUGCUCUCAGCGGAGGCUCUCACAUCUUACCCUUCUCUGUGCUCAGAGCCAGAAUGCAGAAUCAUCAAAAAAUGUGAACUGCAUUAUUCAGCAAUUCUCUUCUGGUGAGCACACAAACGACCACCUGUGUCAGCUAAGAGAUGCUGAAAACCAAUCCAGCUAAAGUGCAAAAGAACGUAGAUUUAAGAGGCAAUGAAAAUACAUCUUUAGGUACCACUCUUCUAUUCUAGUCAUCGUGAUGACUAACUUGGAGACUUUGCGACCAUAAGAAUUUCCUCUUCUAAUACUCUGUUUAGACCAGCACUGUCCAUAAUGGUAGCUGCUAGCCAUAUGUAGGAAUUUAAAUGUAUACGUUUAAAUAAAAUUGGAGUUCCCAUUGUGGCUCAUCGGUAAUGAACCCGACAUGCCAUCAUAGUAUCUGUGAGGAUGUGGGUUCAACCCCUGGCCUUGCUCAGUGGGCUAAGGAUUUGGCGUUGCCGUGAGCUGUGGUGUAGGCUGAAGAUGGGGUUUGGAUCCCACGUUGCUGUGGCUGGCAGCUGUAGCUCCGAUACUGACCCCUAGCCUGGGAACUUCCAUAUGCCACCAGUCCAGCCCUAAAAAGCCUAAAUAAAUAAAUAAAUAUUACCAUUUCAGUUCUUUAGUCACAUCAGUCAUAUUUUCCAAGUGUCUGGUGACUAUCUGACCCUACAGUGCAGAUUAAAGAACACGGCCCAAAGAAAGUUCUACUGGACAGCGCUGGUUUGGACUGAAGUGGGCAAGUGCGACUAGCACCUCUAACUCGCCUGAGUGCUCUGUUUCUGGCUGGGAGAGCACCCUGGCGAUGCUCAACAAAAGACAGAGGGGACUCAGUGGACUCCUCGCUCCCUGGCUUGGGUAACCUGGGGAUGGGUCUACAAGGGCUCCCAGACUUCCCUGGGAACAGUGAGCCCCAGCUGACCACCUGCUGUGGUUCACUUGUUGGGACUGGGGGGGCUUCCGGAGGAACCCAACUAAGACAACCACCUUGUCCUUCACAGACCACAGGACAGUCAUGUGUAUCUUGACAUCUGACCGCGGUGUUGAAAAACUAGCUAAUUUCACUGGUGAAAAAAGAUGAUCAUGUAUGAAGUCAGUUUGUAGAGAAGACCUUCCAAAAGAAAAUGUCUCCUGUCUUGCUUUAUAUAUAUAUAUAUAUUUCUUUUUGUCUUUUUGCUAUUUCUUUGGGCCGCUCCCACGGCAUAUGGAGGUUCCCAGGUGUGGCCCUAAAAAAAAGGCAAACAGACAACCAAAAAACCAAAUUCCCAUUGUCUGUGACUUCUCUAUGGAUUUUCCCAGGGCAGUCAACCAGAUCACAGCAGAAGUGGUAACCCUGCUCCCCGAGAAAGAGCCACUGGGAGGUGCAGGCUGCUGCUAACAGGCUGUUCGUGUGCUCAACACGAAUGCUUUGAAAAUUAAGACUAUCUUGACUUUCUGCCUAGGUUUUAUCACGUUUUAUCACAUUACUACAUGCCAGACUGACUCGACCUCCUCCCACAGCAGAAGACUCCCUGAGUAAGAACCACAUUCUCCGCUGCAUAAUGAACUGAGGCUCUGUGUGUGUGUGAGCCCCUUGACCCACGGUGGGUGCUCAGGAAAUGGGCCCCCACGCGCAGGCCGAGCAUCUGCCGUGUGCUAAGUACUUUAUACACUUUAUCCCAUGGAUUCUUCACAGCAGCCCUUCCGGUUUGUGCCGUGAAUGGUCCCCACCUCCCAGGAAACCAAGGCUUGGAGAGAUUAAAUGGCUGGUCCCGGGCCCCACAGCCCACGGGUGUCACAGCAGGACUCCUGCUCAGGUCUGUGGGACCCUGGACCACACCACUAACUCCACCCGGAAUUACUUUACAAUUAAUUAUAAGACGUGGGUCUACCCAUCUUCUGGUUUUCUCAGUGACCCUGAGGCCCAAGUAAGGGCUCCGCUAAGUGUCUAUUUUAGUGACUGAGAUAACGGAAGCUUACAUGACCGAGCCUGAGCCCUCACACCCCAGUCCCAUGCUCCUUCCCGUGGGGCCUGACCCACUGGGCUGCAGCUGUUCUCUUCCCUUCCUCAGCCCAGCAUCCCUGGUCCAGCAGCGUGAGCCCAGAGACCCCACUGCAGGCCCAGAGCUGGGGAACCCAGGCCGGUCCUGUGCACAAGGCCUUGGCCAGGCCGGACAAGCCACUGGGCUGGGCUCAUGUUCAUUCCGCUCUGAGUCAGCAGCUAAAAAAGGCUGCUAAUCUUUAAUUCAGGGAUGUUAUUUUUCUAUUACAGAAAUUUCAGCCAAACUAAUGGUUUCACACUAUAUCAGGAACCUCAGAAGCGCCAGCAGGAUAAUCCAGACAUGGACUCAUUUAACCUCACUCUCCAAAGUGGAAAGUGGGCCUCGUCAUCCCAGGCCAGUCCCCGGGGGUGCAUACUGGAAGGUGGCUGUCAGCCCCCUAGCCACGGGGAGCCCCAGGGGGGAGGAAGCAACAGGCUUGGGAGGAAGCAACAGGCUAUGGUCUGUAGGAACCACACUCAGUGGGUUAACUCGGACCGGGAUCCCCAGCCCUCAGCCACACUGCCCGGGUUGUUCCCAGGAGCCUGUUUAAAACGUCUGAGGCCUACUGGGGUUCCCAUUGUGGCUUAGCAGUUAUGAACCUGACUAGUAUCCAUAAGGAUGUGGGUUUGAUCCCUGGCCUCACUCAGUGGGUUAACAAUCUGGUGUUGCUGUGCACUGCAGCACCGGUCACAGAUGUGGCUUGAAUUCUGGUGUGGCUGUAGUGUAGGCCAGCAGCUGCAGCUCCAGGUCUACCUCUAGCCUGAGAACUUCCAUAUGUCACAGGUACAGCCCUAAAAAGAAAAAACAGACAAAAAAUAAAACAAACCAAAACAACCCCCCCCCUGAAAAAAAGUCUGAGGCCUAGGAAACUGCUGUGACCCUCCGGGGACAGAGGCUGGGCACCCCCUCACCUGACCCCAAUCCUCCCAGAAGCCACCCUGAGGCUUGAGCAUCCAGACCAGGAUCAGAAGGCCAGGGAGAGGCAGCCAGUGCCCCAAGGCCCUGGGCUCAGGUCCUCAGCCAGCCUGGGCCUCAGGCAGGGAGUCAGGGAGGCUCCCUGGGCAACCGCUGGGGUCAGGAAGGCGAGGUUCCAGCCACUUGCAGGUCGAGGCAGAAACACAGAAGCCUUCCCUCCCAAUCCUCACAGAUGCACAUUUUAAAAUACAGCCUGGGGUUUCUCAGGGCAAGAAAUCUUAGAAACAAAUCCCCUGAGAUGGGGUGUCUCGAAUGACCGACCAUGUGUCUCACGAGAAACGCUAAGUGGACAUGAGCCCAUGGCAAGGCCGGCCUGGUGCUCACAUGUGGCUGACACCCUCCCUCUGGUUGUGAGUUUGUCAAUUUGUCGAGGGCAGGAGGAGAUGAGGUCCAACUGGCUUACAGGCGCAGCCACCCUCCCCGCAGCCAGCGGUCCGGAGCGAGCAGCCCAGGCAUGGAGGGUCUCAGCCUCAGUCUCAGCCUUGGCGGCACCAUCAGGAACUUUCCAACCACUCAUGUCUGGCUCCAAACACCUCAGCUGUCCUGGCCCAAGGGGAGGGGGGUGCUGGGCUGAAAAUCUCCCCAGGGUUCCUCACACUAGGGUGCCCCCAACGUGCCCCUGGGAGCCUGCGAAACCCCAAUGACUGGGUCCCCUUGCCAGAGGCUCUGCCCUGCAGGUCUCAGGUGGGGCCUUGGAAUGUGCAUUUCCAACAAGCUCCCGGGGGCCACUGCUGGUGCAGAUCCCACCCCUGCUUUGAGAACAGCUGCCCUGAGAACACUUAGAUGAGGGCAGGGCCCUGCCUUCCUGGGGACCCCAGUAUGCAAAUGGGACUUCAGGUGGACCCCAGACACAAACAAGGUGAGAGGACACAGCCCAGCCUUGUGACCAGAAAAGCCGGGAAAUGUGAGUGCUGGGCCUCGCUCUGUUGCCAUCCAGAGGCGGACCCUGGAGAUACCCCUUCCCCCGCUGCAGACCCCAGUCCUGGCAUCACCAGUGGAACAAAGUAAAUUCAAGUAAAGAAUCCCCAGUCACCCCAGGUACACUGCUGCUCCAGAAACAGCUACGGAGGGGUGGGGACCAGGCCAGAAUGAACCCCACAGGGCUGGAGACGCGCCCAGGGCCCCUUUGCUCCUUGGCCACAAGGAAGAAGUGGCCAUCGUUGUCACAGGUCAGGAGAGGGAGCCCAGGGGUGCAGGGGGCCAGGAAGUGGCUGCCACUUGAGAUGACCCCCCCCAGUGGGUGUUCCCAGCACCCCCACUUCCAUGGCCCGUGGCCGCCACACACAGGUGUGCUCACUGCUCACGGCUCCGUGGGAGCCUGAAAUUUCAAGUCUGGGGACACUGCCCCCAGGUGCUCACCUGUGGCCAAUGGCACAUGGAUGCAUGUGCCAUCCUCUGUUCCCAAAGGGAAGUAAGUCCAAGAUGUAAGGAAGACCGGACAGGUGGCCUGGCCACCAGACCCCCCGGAACAAGGGGUUAGCCCAGACCAGUGGCUUUCAAGCAUUUUUAGAGGAUGAACCUUUCUUCUUCUUUUUAAUAGAUCCCUAGCACAGGGUCGACCAGUGCUGAGGUUCUGACUGUGUGUCUCUGUGUGGGGGUGAGAGUGGGGAGGGAGGGGUCCCUGAGUCCCAGACAGCCUCCCACCCCCGCCACCAGGGGUGUGGUACAUACAUACAAUGGAAUACCCUUCAGCCAUAGACAAGAAUGACAUAUUGCCACAUGCAGCAGCAUGUAUGCAACUAGAGAUGCUCACACGCACUUGUAUGUGGAAUCUGAAAAAAUGAUGCAGAUGAACUUGUUUACAAAACAGAAAUAGACUCGCAGAGAACAAACUUAUGGUUACCAAAGGGGACAAAGGGGAGGGGAGGGAUAAGAUAGGAGUUUGGGAUUAUAUGCACACCACUAUACAUAAAACAGAUAACCAACAAGGACCUAUCGUAUAGCACAGAGAACUCUACUCACUAUCUUGUAAUAACCUAUAAUGGAGAAGAAUCUGAAAAAUAUAUAUACACAUGUAUGUAUACACACACACAAAUAUAUACACAUGACUGAAUCACUUUCCUGUAUACCUGAAAUUAACACAACAUUGUGAAUCAACUAUACAUCAAUCAAUAAAUACAUAAAUAAAUUUUUUAAAAAAUAAAGUAUUGACUACGGUACUAGUUUUAAUAUGGCACAGGCCCCAUCUCAGGGAAGGUCAGGGAGAGCAGAGAGGGAGGCAGGAUGUCUUUCUCGCCUCAGCCUCCCCUCCAGGCCUGGCACCUGUCCCAGGGUCUAGGGCAGGGCCGGCAGCAGCAAACGUUUCCUGGAAAAGGGCCACAGAGUAAAAAAUUUAGGUCGUGCAGGUCCUGUGGCCUGUAUUGCAACUAUUCAACUCUGCCUUCAAAGAGCAAGAGCAGCCAUGUGUGGCUGUGUGUGGCUGUGCUCCAAUAAAACUUUAUUUAUGAAAACCGCCAACAGACCGGGUUUAGUGGAGGGCCCCAGUUUUGCUGAGCCCUGGCAUAGGGAAAAACGCUGUGGGGUCCGCAACCCUAAGAUUCUUUCCACAUUUAUGACAAUGAAUUCUCAAUUCUUAAACUCUACUUGCCGGAGUCUUGGUCUAACCUAUCAAGAAUACACUCAUUCCUGAACUUCACGGAUUUUUGUUCCAAGAACCAAAAAUGUUCUGAUGAGCUAAUGAAUGUGAAAAAUGCUUUGAAAAGCCUAAGCUUUGCAAACGGGCAGACCCACCAAAGCCUCUAAGAGCAGAGCUUACCAUCCUUUACCUGUGUUUCAGGAAGAUUCCAGGCACUGGGUUAUGUCCGCCUGGGCUGCUUUUAAAGAACGGGGUUUAAAGAAUGCUGCAGUAAAAAGGGCCUAAAGGGACAACGAAGCUGGAAGAAAUGAAUAGUGUCUGGUCCUUGUCUCCUGGAGCCUGAAACUUUUAAACUCUCCAUAGAAAAUCCCACACUCCCCAUUUCAUCCUGUUUGUCUACGCAGCGGCCUCUUAGGCCAGGAAACGGCAUUAGUCAGGAGGCUCCUGGUUAAUCCCUGGAUACGUCUCCUUUGCGCAGCUGUGAAAAUGCUGCAUUGUUAUUUAACUGCACUGAACCGCUCUCCAUCCUUGAAACUGUCUUCAUAAUCACACCGUGACCUAAGGUGCCCUCGCGUGGUGAAGUCCCCGUGAAUGGCUGCCAUCCGUCUACCCUCCAUCGUCCUUCUGGCAGAAAGAAAUCGUAGCCACAAUUUAGUAAGCACCUACUGUGGCUGAGCUUUUGCUANUUUUUUUUUUUUUGGUCUUUUUGGCUUUUCUAGAGCCGCACCCACGGCAUACGGAGGUUCCCAGGCAAGGGGUCUAAUCGGAGCUGUAGCUGCUGGCCUACACCACAGCCACAGCAACGCCAGAUCUGAGCCAAGUCUGCAACCUACACCACAGCUCAUGGCAACACCGGAUCCUUAACCCACUGGGCAAGGCCAGGGAUCGAACCCUCAACCUCAUGAUUCCUGGUCAGAUUCGUUAACCACUGAGCUACGACAGGAACUCUGAGGUUUUGCUGUUUCAUGAAGCUUACUUCACCUCAUGACAACCACAACUCUGAGACGUGGG